UGGGGAAUAUUGCACAAUGGAGGGAACUCUGAUGCAGCGACGCCGCGUGAGUGAUGAAGGACUUCGUUUCGUAAAACUCUGUUCUAUGGGAAGAAAAGGACUGUACCAUAGGAGAAAGCUCCGGCUAAAUACGUGCCAGCAGCCGCGGUAAUACGUAUGGAGCGAGCGUUGUCCGGAAUUAUUGGGCGUAAAGGGUGCGCAGGCGGCUUUACAAGUUGGAUGUGAAAUAUUGUGGCUCAACCACAAACGUGCAUCCAAAACUGCAAAGCUUGAGUUAAGGAGAGGUAAGUGGAAUUCCUGGUGUAGCGGUGGAAUGCGUAGAUAUCAGGAGGAAUACCGGUGGCGGAGGCGACUUACUGGACUUAAACUGACGCUCAGGCACGAAAGCGUGGGGAGCAAACAGG
RNAcentral lists this ribosomal RNA (404 nucleotides) under Fusobacteriota bacterium. RNAcentral's name for it is "Fusobacteria bacterium partial 16S ribosomal RNA". It matches the Rfam family "Bacterial small subunit ribosomal RNA", at positions 355 to 776 of the family's 1533-position model. Lineage: Bacteria; Fusobacteriati; Fusobacteriota. The record is from RNAcentral.